Molecule: ribosomal RNA, 1055 nt
Filed under: uncultured Alphaproteobacteria bacterium
Lineage: Bacteria; Pseudomonadati; Pseudomonadota; Alphaproteobacteria
Description: bacterial SSU rRNA
Rfam family: Bacterial small subunit ribosomal RNA
Source: RNAcentral
GCAAUUGGCGUCUUACCAUGCAGUCGACGGAUAAUAUUUGUGCUUGCACAAAUAAAGUUAGUGGCAAACGGGUGAGUAAUACAUGGGAAUUUUCCUUGUAGUAUGGAAUAACUAUUGGAAACAAUAGCUAAUACUGUAUAUUGCCGAGAGGUGAAAGAUUUAUCGCUACAAGAUAAGCCCAUGCAAGAUUAGCUAGUUGGUAAGGUAAUGGCUUACCAAGGCAACGAUCUUUAGCUGGUUUGAGAGAAUGAUCAGCCACACUGGAACUUAGACACGGUCCAGACUCCUACGGGAGGCAGCAGUGGGGAAUAUUGGACAAUGGGCGAAAGCCUGAUCCAGUGACGUCACGUGAAUGAUGAAGACCUUAGGGUUGUAAAAUUCUUUUAGUGGAGAAGAUAAUGACGGUAUCCACAGAAAAAGUCCCGGCUAACUUCGUGCCAGCAGCCGCGGUAAUACGAAGGGGGCAAGCGUUACUCGGAAUUAUUGGGCGUAAAGCGUGCGUAGGCGGCUUUAUAAGUUGGAAGUGAAAGCCUUUGGCUCAACCAAAGAAUUGCUUACAAAACUGUAGAGCUAGAGUAUUAGAGAGGAUAGAAGAAUUUCUGAUGUAGGGGUGAAAUCCGUAGAUAUCAGAAAGAAUAUCGAAGGCGAAAGCAUCUGUCUGGCUAAAUACUGACGCUGUUGCACGAAAGCGUGGGGAGCAAACAGGAUUAGAUACCCUGGUAGUCCACGCAGUAAACGAUGAGUGCUAGAUGUUAGAACUAUGUUUUAGCGUCGAAGCUAACGCAUUAAGCACUCCGCCUGGGAACUACGAUCGCAAGGUUAAAACUCAAAGGAAUUGACGGGGACCCGCACAAGCGGUGGAACAUGUGGUUUAAUUCGAUGCUACGCGAAAAACCUUACCAAGUCUUGACAUGUUAGUCGUAUAGCUAAGAAACUAGCUAGUCAGUUCGGCUGGACUAUCACAGGUGUUGCAUGGCUGUCGUCAGCUCGUGUCGUGAGAUGUUGGGUUAAGUCCCGCAACGAGCGCAACCCUUAUCUUUAAUUGCCAACAGGUA